RNAcentral lists this ribosomal RNA (270 nucleotides) under uncultured archaeon. Its description in RNAcentral is "partial 16S ribosomal RNA". It matches the Rfam family "Archaeal small subunit ribosomal RNA", at positions 477 to 747 of the family's 1478-position model. The record is from RNAcentral.
CAGCACCUCAAGUGGUCAGGAUGAUUAUUGGGCCUAAAGCAUCCGUAGCCGGCGCUGUAAGUUUUCGGUUAAAUCUGUACGCUCAACGUACAGGCUGCCGGGAAUACUGCAGCGCUAGGGAGUGGGAGAGGUAGACGGUACUCGGUAGGAAGGGGUAAAAUCCUUUGAUCUACUGAUGAUCACCUGUGGCGAAGGCGGUCUACCAGAACACGUCCGACGGUGAGGGAUGAAAGCUGGGGGAGCAAACCGGAUUAGAUACCCGAGUAGUCC